CCUCUUUUAGUAGGGAAGAAGCGAAAGUGACGGUACCUGCAGAAAAAGCACCGGCUAACUACGUGCCAGCAGCCGCGGUAAUACGUAGGGUGCAAGCGUUGUCCGGAAUUAUUGGGCGUAAAGAGCUCGUAGGCGGCUUGUCGCGUCUGCUGUGAAAACCCGGAGCUCAACUCCGGGCCUGCAGUGGGUACGGGCAAGCUAGAGUGCGGUAGGGGAGAUUGGAAUUCCUGGUGUAGCGGUGGAAUGCGCAGAUAUCAGGAGGAACACCGAUGGCGAAGGCAGAUCUCUGGGCCGUAACUGACGCUGAGGAGCGAAAGCAUGGGGAGCGAACAGGAUUAGAUACCCUGGUAGUCCAUGCCGUAAACGUUGGGAACUAGAUGUAGGGCCUGUUCCACGGGUUCUGUGUCGUAGCUAACGCAUUAAGUUCCCCGCCUGGGGAGUACGGCCGCAAGGCUAAAACUCAAAGGAAUUGACGGGGGCCCGCACAAGCGGCGGAGCAUGCGGAUUAAUUCGAUGCAACGCGAAGAACCUUACCAAGGCUUGACAUAUACGAGAACGGGCGAGAGAUCGUCAACUCUUUGGACACUCGUAAACAGGUGGUGCAUGGUUGUCGUCAGCUCGUGUCGUGAGAUGUUCGGUUAAGUCCGGCAACGAGCGCAACCCUCGUCCUAUGUUGCCAGCACG
RNAcentral lists this ribosomal RNA (684 nucleotides) under Leucobacter sp. RNAcentral describes it as "bacterial SSU rRNA". It matches the Rfam family "Bacterial small subunit ribosomal RNA", at positions 430 to 1125 of the family's 1533-position model. The record is from RNAcentral. Lineage: Bacteria; Bacillati; Actinomycetota; Actinomycetes; Micrococcales; Microbacteriaceae.